UACAGAGGGGGCGAGCGUUGUUCGGAAUUACUGGGCGUAAAGGGCGCGUAGGCGGCCCGCUAAGUCGAACGUGAAAUCCCCAGGCUUAACCUGGGAACUGCGUCCGAUACUGGCAGGCUUGAAUCCGGGAGAGGGAUGUGGAAUUCCAGGUGUAGCGGUGAAAUGCGUAGAUAUCAGGAGGAACACCGGUGGUGUAGACGGCUUUCUGGACCGUAACUGACGCUGAGACACGAAAGCGUGGGUAGCAAACAGG
RNAcentral lists this ribosomal RNA (253 nucleotides) under uncultured bacterium. RNAcentral's name for it is "partial 16S ribosomal RNA". It matches the Rfam family "Bacterial small subunit ribosomal RNA", at positions 524 to 776 of the family's 1533-position model. The record is from RNAcentral.